UAACGAAUCUUCCGCAAUGCACGAAAGUGUGACGGAGCGACGCCGCGUGGAGGAGAAGCCCUUCGGGGUGUAAACUCCUGUCAGGGGUAAGAAAGUUCUGAUCUACCCCAGAGGAAGAGGCGGCUAACUCUGUGCCAGCAGCCGCGGUAAUACAGAGGCCUCGAGCGUUAGGCGGAAUCACUGGGCUUAAAGCGUGUGUAGGCGGACUGGUAAGUACCUUGUGAAAUCCCACAGCUUAACUGUGGAACUGCUCGGUAUACUGCUGGUCUUGAGCCACUCAGGGGCUACCGGAACAAAUGGUGGAGCGGUGAAAUGCGUAGAUAUCAUUUGGAACGCCAAUGGUGAAAACAGGUAGCUGGGGGUGUGCUGACGCUGAGACACGAAAGCCAGGGGAGCAAACGGGAUUAGAUACCCCCGUAGUCC
Molecule: ribosomal RNA, 423 nt
Filed under: uncultured bacterium
Lineage: Bacteria
Description: bacterial SSU rRNA
Rfam family: Bacterial small subunit ribosomal RNA
Source: RNAcentral